GGCUCGGCGCUGGUCGGGUUCGUGGCCGCCGCGCUGCUGCCGCAUUUCGGCUGGCGUGCCGUGCUGCUGGCCGGCGGCGCGAUCCCGCUGCUGUGCCU
This 98-nucleotide transfer RNA is filed under the name Ralstonia solanacearum. RNAcentral describes it as "tRNA-Ser". Lineage: Bacteria; Pseudomonadati; Pseudomonadota; Betaproteobacteria; Burkholderiales; Burkholderiaceae. The record is from RNAcentral.